Long non-coding RNA from Gasterosteus aculeatus aculeatus (three-spined stickleback), 680 nucleotides. Lineage: Eukaryota; Metazoa; Chordata; Actinopteri; Perciformes; Gasterosteidae. The record is from Ensembl.
GGAAAUCACACGAGAGCCCGACAACGACGUCACCCUGAGACAAACGUUUGGCGCUGGACGAGGCCCGACACACAAAGUCCGGACCGAUUUCACACACGGCAGGCGACUGAAGUCAAUAAGCACAUUUCCACACACGUCGGAGAGACGCGUCGGACCGGAGACUCGAUUAGUCGAAUGUCUCUUGCCUUGUUGCAAAGGCCGGGACGAGCCAGCCGAGGAGGCCAAGUUUACGCCCCAACACCUGCCGCCUCAUACCUGCUCCUCGUACUGAUGCUGCAGCCACUCCACAAGUAGAAGAAAGCCUCCUUCUUAAUUUUCUCAGGUUCAACAUGCGUGUAAAUUCUUCAAACACAUGACCACCAGGUGACACAGUAAGUAAGUAGGAGCCAAACGUUUAUAGUUAAUCAUUUGAAAAACUCCACAUCAGGUGGCCUCCAUCUUUCCAAAGACAUCAGUGGAUGGAAGCGCAACAAACGGAUGUCGAGUGUAACCAAAUAUCCAGCAACACACAAGCACAUACUUGAUGGGGCUUAAAACUCAGACGUGUUUUGUCUUUUCGAAUAUCUCGCUCGCUGCUGCACCACCCACGCAUUCCUGAAACAUCCAACUGCUGAGACCAGUUCAAAGGCGUCUGUGGGCGGGGAGUUUGCGUAACAGGUGUGUGUGUGUGUGUGUGUGUG